AUCAUCGAUGCUGCUUUUUUGUAGCGACUUGUGUUAUAACUAAAUUCUUAUAACUAUGUGGCGUACUUUACUGACGAUGUAAUUAUUAAGCAUUUUCUUAUUUCCAUUAUCUAUGCUUAGAGCUAGACUUUGUAGUAUCAUUUUAUGACUGAUUUCUCGACUGAAAGUUACUUUUGCUUACAACAGGUUCAACUCAAAGACAUUGUGUGCGAACUGUGCCACAAGAAAUGCAAAAGCAAGAGCGGACUGAAACGACACAAGACAGUUAAACACAGAGAUACGAGAGAAGAUGUUGAGAAGCAGAAAGAAGGAGGACAAGAAAGCUAUUUAACUUUUGUAGCUUACUCAAGAAUUGUAGAAAAAGCUAAACACAAAAUUGCUGACAACAAAAUUUAUCCAAAAACAAUCAGAGACGAGCUAAGAUGCUACACCCACAACAACAGUCUACAAGACAUACCAGCUGAAUUCUGCGACAUUGAAGACCUAUAUAAACGCUUGACAAAGUCUGGAAAUGCUGAAAGAUUUUAUUCUUGCUUCUACUCAACCAUGGCUCUGAAUGUAGUUAAGCAUUUUAAGGGAUUAUCAAGGAACGCUGCUACUCUACUGUCUACCAAGGUUGCUGAUUGUAUGUUGGCACACAGCAAGGAGAAAAUUGAAAGCACUUAUACUUGCGCCCCAUUAACUAAACUUUCAGAUGACGAAAAAGCUGGACGACAGUAUAUUGGCGGUUAUGUGCUUCAUAAACUUCAUACCAAGCAUGCCAGUAAAUCAUCAGAAAGUGAGCAGGCAAUCUCCAUCCUUAAGGCUGGCAAAUUAGAAGACCAGAAUGCUAUUGAAUGCCAGAAGUUAACUUCAUCCUUAAAUCGUGGUGGUUUGUGGGCAAUUACAAAAAGUGCUCAAUCAAUUUUUGAGAGAACUGAACAUUAUUUCAGGGAUACCACUUCAAAUACUACUGUGCAAAAUGUAGCUUUUGCUAGUAUUAUAUCAAGAUCUGUUCAUGAUGUUGAAGUUGUCUCAGCAUACAAUUCACUGUUAUCCAAUUCUCAACUGAUAAUCAACAGUAGUGUUGCAAAAGAUGUUUUGCACAACAUCAUACAAAUGUAUAUCAAAGUGCAGUCAUUUUUCUUUUGCGAAAGAUAUCAUCCAGAAACAUAAGAUUAGACUGAAACAAAUGAAAUACAAAGCACUUCAUAAGGACAUUAGCAGAGCCUCCCAUGAGUUUGAUCAACUAAGGCAAAGCUAAACUCUGAAAAUCAUCAUGCGAGAAACAAUUUAAUUUAUUGACCCCUAGACCAUAUUUGUAUAUUCCUAAUCAUUUCUAAUAAGUUGCUGUUGCAUUUGUUGUUAAAAAUUUUAAAACAAUAACUGAUUAAGAAUAAAAA
Molecule: non-coding RNA, 1382 nt
Organism: Pocillopora damicornis (cauliflower coral)
Lineage: Eukaryota; Metazoa; Cnidaria; Anthozoa; Scleractinia; Pocilloporidae
Source: RefSeq, a predicted model, not a curated record